Molecule: ribosomal RNA, 496 nt
Filed under: uncultured bacterium
Lineage: Bacteria
Description: partial 16S ribosomal RNA
Rfam family: Bacterial small subunit ribosomal RNA
Source: RNAcentral
AUGAACGCUGGCGGCGUGCCUCAUACAUGCCAGUCGCGCGAACAGACGAGGAGCUUGCUCCUCUGACGUUAGCGGCGGACGGGUGAGUAACACGUGGUUAACCUACCUAUAAGACUGGGAUAACUUCGGGAAACCGGAGCUAAUACCGGAUAAUAUAUUGAACCGCAUGGUUCAAUAGUGAAAGACGGUUUUGCUGUCACUUAUAGAUGGAUCCGCGCCGCAUUAGCUAGUUGGUAAGGUAACGGCUUACCAAGGCAACGAUGCGUAGCCGACCUGAGAGGGUGAUCGGCCACACUGGAACUGAGACACGGUCCAGACUCCUACGGGAGGCAGCAGUAGGGAAUCUUCCGCAAUGGGCGAAAGCCUGACGGAGCAACGCCGCGUGAGUGAUGAAGGUCUUCGGAUCGUAAAACUCUGUUAUUAGGGAAGAACAAAUGUGUAAGUAACUAUGCACGUCUUGACGGUACCUAAUCAGAAAGCCACGGCUAACUACGUG